This 497-nucleotide ribosomal RNA is filed under the name Cystobasidium sp. Its description in RNAcentral is "LSU rRNA". It matches the Rfam family "Eukaryotic large subunit ribosomal RNA", at positions 106 to 606 of the family's 3401-position model. Lineage: Eukaryota; Fungi; Basidiomycota; Cystobasidiomycetes; Cystobasidiales; Cystobasidiaceae. The record is from RNAcentral.
AGCUCAACUUUGAAAUCUGGCACCUUCGGUGUCCGAAUUGUAGUCUCAAGAAGUGUUUUCUGUGCCGGUCCAUGUAUGAGUCUGUUGGAACACAGCGUCAUAGAGGGUGACAACCCCGUUCAUGACAUGGAUACCGGUGCUCUGUGAUACACUCUCGAAGAGUCGAGUUGUUUGGGAAUGCAGCUCAAAUUGGGUGGUAAAUUCCAUCUAAAGCUAAAUAUUGGCGAGAGACCGAUAGCAAACAAGUACCGUGAGGGAAAGAUGAAAAGCACUUUGGAAAGAGAGUUAACAGUACGUGAAAUUGUUGAAAGGGAAACGAUUGAAGUCAGACGUGCGUGAUGCGGUUCAGCCUUGGUUCGCCAGGGUGUAUUCCGUAUCUUUGCAGGCCAACAUCAGUUUCGAUAGUCGGAUAAAGAUUAGUUGAAUGUGGCACCCUCGGGUGUGUUAUAGCUUCUAAUUGAAUACGAUUGUUGGGACUGAGGAACGCAGCGCGCCGC